GUGCUCAUUUCAGCAGCACAUAUACCAAAAUUGGAACGAUACAGAGUUUAACACAGCCCCUGUGCAAGGAUGACACACAAAUUCAUGAAGUGUUCCCUUUUUUA
Small nuclear RNA from Prolemur simus (greater bamboo lemur), 104 nucleotides. The record is from Ensembl. Lineage: Eukaryota; Metazoa; Chordata; Mammalia; Primates; Lemuridae.